This 484-nucleotide ribosomal RNA is filed under the name uncultured bacterium. Its description in RNAcentral is "partial 16S ribosomal RNA". It matches the Rfam family "Bacterial small subunit ribosomal RNA", at positions 30 to 507 of the family's 1533-position model. The record is from RNAcentral.
AUUGAACGCUGGCGGCAGGCCUAACACAUGCAAGUCGAGCGGAUGAAGGGAGCUUGCUCCUGGAUUCAGCGGCGGACGGGUGAGUAAUGCCUAGGAAUCUGCCUGGUAGUGGGGGAUAACGUCCGGAAACGGGCGCUAAUACCGCAUACGUCCUGAGGGAGAAAGUGGGGGAUCUUCGGACCUCACGCUAUCAGAUGAGCCUAGGUCGGAUUAGCUAGUUGGUGGGGUAAAGGCCUACCAAGGCGACGAUCCGUAACUGGUCUGAGAGGAUGAUCAGUCACACUGGAACUGAGACACGGUCCAGACUCCUACGGGAGGCAGCAGUGGGGAAUAUUGGCCGAUGGGCGAAAGCCUGAUCCAGCCAUGCCGCGUGUGUGGAGAAGGUCUUCGGAUUGUAAAGCACUUUAAGUUGGGAGGAAGGGCAGUAAGUUAAUACCUUGCUGUUUUGACGUUACCUACAGAAUAAGCACCGGCUAACUUCGUG